Acinonyx jubatus (cheetah) is the source of this 909-nucleotide long non-coding RNA. RefSeq lists it as uncharacterized. The record is from RefSeq and is a predicted model, not a curated record. Lineage: Eukaryota; Metazoa; Chordata; Mammalia; Carnivora; Felidae. The transcript has 3 exons.
CAGGGGCCAGCGGCGGCAGGAGGCCCGAUCUUCCCAUGUUGAUUCCUGAAAGAGUGGCCAAGGCACAUGGGCUCGUGGCCAGGAUUCAUUCAUCCAUUCACUCCGGCAUUUACUGAGCGCCUACAAUGCGUCAGGCACGUGGGGCUCGAACACCAAAACUCCCUUCUGAAGAGGGCUUUCUGGAUCAUCCCAACCCCAAUUUCUUGAUCUUCAACGAAUCAAGGAAAGAGAGAAUGAGGAAGGAACAACAGAGAGAGAGAGGCCACCGCUCACACCGCAAACUCACAGGCAGGAUUCCGCACUGCCAGUGACACCAAGCCAAGGUUCAAGAGACCUCUAGCGGCACCUCUCUUGGCGCCCUGGCUGAUACACCAGGCAAUCAACCGUGUCUCCAUUUUUGCAUUAGCCACUGAAAAUGCUCAGAACUGAUUUUGCAUCUUUCCUACGAGCCACAGGACCUUUGGCCAAGUCACUUAAACUCCAUGAGCCUAAAUCUCCGGGUGGGGUUAAUUACCACCUGUCUCUUAAGGUAGCUGUGGAAAUAAAAUGAAAGAUUAUGAUAUAAUUUAUUAAGCAUAUAUAUUAAUUAUUGAGUACCUAUUAUGUGCCCGGCACAUGCCUUAUUUAUUUAUUUAUUUAAUAUGUUUAUAAAUAUUUUAUAUAUACUUCAUAUAUACUUAUGUAUUUAUAUCAUUCCAUAUAUAUUUUUUAUAUUUAUGUAUUUUUAUAUAUAACAUAUAUGUGUGUGUUUGAGAGUUGUUUGUGGGAAGGAGUUGUAAUUCACCUCAAUAUCAUGGAGCAGAGCAGGUAAAAAAAUAAUAAUAAUAACGAAAUGAAGACUUAAUUUACUCUUUCUGGACUCCACAACAACGCUGGUGUGUGUUUCAGGCAAACUUCGUUGGCUGCAAG